RNAcentral lists this non-coding RNA (210 nucleotides) under Paenibacillus sp. Its description in RNAcentral is "Lysine sequence". It matches the Rfam family "Lysine riboswitch aptamer". From Rfam's summary of the family: Riboswitches are metabolite binding domains within certain messenger RNAs that serve as precision sensors for their corresponding targets. Allosteric rearrangement of mRNA structure is mediated by ligand binding, and this results in modulation of gene expression. The record is from RNAcentral. Lineage: Bacteria; Bacillati; Bacillota; Bacilli; Caryophanales; Paenibacillaceae.
AGGUGAGGUAGAGGUUGCGAAAGCGAUGAGUAGCUGCAGGGAGGCGCAAGGAACCGCCGACGAUCUGCCGUGAAGGGCGCUUUCGCCGAAGUGUGGCGGUCCGUUCCGAUCGACGGCCAUGCUGGGGCUGUACCCGAAAGGGACAGAACUGUCGCGGCUGAACCGGCAUCGCUUAAGAAUGCCGUUUGGCCGUGUUGAGCUAUCUUUCAU